AAGGAUGUGGGAACAAAGUUGGAAACAGAGGAUUUCCAAAAACAUACCAAGGAAAUGAUUCCAUUUCUUAGCCGAUUUCAUGGUAAAACCCACACAAUGUUUUGUCAGCUUUUGUAUGGAGGUCAUUGGAUGACUGGAGCUGCGUCAACAACAGGCGAGACGACUGAACAGACUAACUCCAAAAUGUCUCGUUAUUGAUCCACUACAAAGCACAUGAGUAAUCCAAAUAGAAGGGACCAUUUAACCGAUGGAAUGAUCUACUGGAAUCAAGGAAAGGAAUGCGGAAUGGCCAAGCAACUAGCGAAAUUCUAUAAUGCUGCUCUUGAUGAUUCGGUUCGUUAUGAUAAAGAGUUUGAAAAGCAAAAACAAACAUGGCUAGAGGAAACUAAGCGUCAAUUGCACGAAGCCCGUGAGAAACUAUCCAAGGCUCAGCAGGCUAUGGAUGAAAUUCCAUACAAACUCAAAAAGUUAUUGCAGAUAAAAUCUCCGGCUAAGAAAUUAAGAGAUUUUGCUGUGGUCCAAUCAAACAAACUGCGAUCCAAUCCAUAGUACCACAACUUACAUCGGAUAUCUUUAAACUUGAAAAAAGUCUUGGCGAAGGAGUUGUGCCUCAACUUCCCAAAAUUCUUGAAGACCUCCGGAACGAAGCGUCUCGCUGCCAGAGGAAGAGGAUUACUAAAAAAACUCCUCUUGAUGUUGCAAGGAAGAGUCUCGAAGCGACACAUCUGCUAAUGAGGAAUUUAAAAAAUCGUAUAGCGAAGGAGGCAGACAGCUCCAAGUCGCGAUCAGAGUUCAAAAGGCAGUUGCAGAAAUGUUCCGAGAAAGUCCAAAUCAUCAUUGGAACAAUAAAUGAGCAGACAAUACUCGAUAGUGAAAAAGUAACGAUAGAAAAUUGUUACAAUGGAAUUUUUCCCUGGCAGUCUUCUUCUGAAAUUUCAUUUCAAUUGAAAUAUCACCUCAUCGAUGCUUGGAUGUUUCAUCAGAGAAGUCGUGAAGAAAUUAUUCAAGUUAAAAAGGAAAUGGAGCAUUUCUACAUUGGACUUUGUGACAAGAAAAAGUUACUUUCCGAAGAGAUACAGAAGAAUUCAACCCGACGCACAACAAGAUAAACCGUUUUACAAAGGGAAAGUGAACCUUUUAAGAAGAGAAAGUUCCAGAAUUGGUGCUCUCUUGGAAGACGCAUCAUCAUGGUCUUGUGGCAUUAUAAAUGUACCAAGCCCUGAAAUUCGUCAAACAAUGGACAGGAGCAACCUCAACGAAAACACGUCGGAUUCGGAUACCACUUCAGAAGAUGAUGGGGAAAGCAAUUUUGGUAUUACGUUUGAAGGAACUGAAAUUGCGGAUUCUAGUUCUUCCGACGAAGCUGAUAAUAGUUUUAAUUCAACUGUGGAAUGAGGUAUGUUCAACUGAUACCUCGCUUUAACUCCGUGUUUCUGUGAAAAUAAAGAAUAAAUACAGCUGCGCUCAUAAUCAAAUUGUACGUUUGGUUUAUCCCUUCUAUUUUUUUCAAGGGAGUAGUGCGAAGGUUACUAACCAUAAAUUUGUCCAAUAACAUAAUGUAUACA
Daphnia carinata is the source of this 1565-nucleotide long non-coding RNA. RefSeq lists it as uncharacterized. NCBI's taxonomy places the organism in Eukaryota, Metazoa, Arthropoda, Branchiopoda, Diplostraca, Daphniidae. The record is from RefSeq and is a predicted model, not a curated record. The transcript is spliced from 9 exons.